RNAcentral lists this ribosomal RNA (236 nucleotides) under uncultured bacterium. Its description in RNAcentral is "partial 16S ribosomal RNA". It matches the Rfam family "Bacterial small subunit ribosomal RNA", at positions 541 to 776 of the family's 1533-position model. The record is from RNAcentral.
UUGUUCGGAAUUACUGGGCGUAAAGGGCUCGUAGGUGGCCAACUAAGUCAGACGUGAAAUCCCUCGGCUUAACCGGGGAACUGCGUCUGAUACUGGAUGGCUAGAGUUUGGGAGAGGGAUGCGGAAUUCCAGGUGUAGCGGUGAAAUGCGUAGAUAUUGGGAGGAACACCGGUGGCGAAGGCGGCUACCUGGACCGGUUCUGACGCUGAUGCGCGAAAGCGUGGGUAGCAAACAGG